UUUGGCUUUCCAAGGCCCCUGUCAUUACAUGUCUGUGUCUAACAGUAAUUCCCCUUUCAUUUCAUUUGAAUUUUAUGAUCUUUGUCGCUUACCAUCACAGCACUAGAUUUUGUUUGCAGCUCACUCCAACCAGAUAUUCAAUUUAUUCUUCUUUCUGUAUAUAUUUGUUUGCUGGAGGCGUUCAUGGUGUUCUUGCUAAUUAAUCUUCAGACAUGAUAUGAUUUUGAGUAAAGAAACUGCAACUUGCAUUAUUAUCAACCUUGAAUUGAAUCUAGCUCUUUAUCUUGAUUUUACUGUUGGAUUUCUUCUCAUGGACAGCUUAUCUUUUCAGAACUGCAAGUCUCUGUUGCUUGUGAUCGUAUGAAAUGAUGUUUUCUGGGAUUCUUCUUCCUUCACCGAAGAUGCCAGAAGGAAUUUUGAGCUCCUGGUUACUACCUCAAGCAAGCAUCACAACAUGAAAUUAUCAAGACAUGGCGUGGGAGAGGCACUUGCAGAAUGAACUUGCCCUAAAAGUUUACUCUUUUUCCCAGGAAACAAACAUAAAAUCUCAGAACAUGGGAACUGAUCUCCAUUGUUAUAUAAGACAGAUGAAGCCGGCCCCGGCUUUUCCCCACAUCUUGAGAAAACUCAAUCUUGAAAACUAGAAUUAAAGCCUAGAUUUUGUUUUUAUUUAGUUUGGUUAAGAGUUAACUUUCAUUAUUUUACUUUUUUUUUUAAUAUAAAAUUAUCUCAAUG
This 735-nucleotide long non-coding RNA is filed under the name Populus tremula. RNAcentral's name for it is "long non-coding RNA (PTRE_LNC000838)". The record is from RNAcentral. Lineage: Eukaryota; Viridiplantae; Streptophyta; Magnoliopsida; Malpighiales; Salicaceae.